GAUGAACGCUGGCGGCGUGCCUAAUACAUGCAAGUCGAACGAAACUUCUUUAUCACCGAGUGCUUGCACUCACCGAUAAAGAGUUGAGUGGCGAACGGGUGAGUAACACGUGGGCAACCUGCCCAAAAGAGGGGGAUAACACUUGGAAACAGGUGCUAAUACCGCAUAACCAUAGUUACCGCAUGGUAACUAUGUAAAAGGUGGCUAUACUACCGCUUUUGGAUGGGCCCGCGACGCAUUAGCUAGUUGGUAGGGUAAAGGCUUACCAAGGCAAUGAUGCGUAGCCGAAUUGAGAGGUUGAUCGGCCACAUUGGGACUGAGACACGGCCCAAACUCCUACGGGAGGCAGCAGUAGGGAAUCUUCCACAAUGGGCGAAAGCCUGAUGGAGCAACGCCGCGUGGGUGAAGAAGGUCUUCGGAUCGUAAAACCCUGUUGUUAGAGAAGAAAGUGCGUGAGAGUAACUGUUCACGUUUCGACGGUAUCUAACCGGAAAGCCACGGCUAACUACGUG
RNAcentral lists this ribosomal RNA (512 nucleotides) under uncultured bacterium. RNAcentral describes it as "partial 16S ribosomal RNA". It matches the Rfam family "Bacterial small subunit ribosomal RNA", at positions 28 to 507 of the family's 1533-position model. The record is from RNAcentral.